This 397-nucleotide ribosomal RNA is filed under the name uncultured bacterium. RNAcentral describes it as "bacterial SSU rRNA". It matches the Rfam family "Bacterial small subunit ribosomal RNA", at positions 355 to 769 of the family's 1533-position model. The record is from RNAcentral.
UGGGGAAUAUUGCACAAUGGGCGAAAGCCUGAUGCAGCAACGCCGCGUGAGUGAUGAAGGCCUUCGGGUUGUAAAGCUCUGUCUUCUGGGACGAUAAUGACGGUACCAGAGGAGGAAGCCACGGCUAACUACGUGCCAGCAGCCGCGGUAAUACGUAGGUGGCAAGCGUUGUCCGGAUUUACUGGGCGUAAAGGAUGCGUAGGCGGAUACUUAAGUCAGAUGUGAAAAUCCCGGGCUUAACUUGGGAACUGCAUUUGAAACUGGGUAUCUGGAGUGCGGGAGAGGAAAGUGGAAUUCCUAGUGUAGCGGUGAAGUUCGUAGAGAUUAGGAAGAACACCAGUGGCGAAGGCGACUUUCUGGACCGUAACUGACGCUGAGGCAUGAAAGCGUGGGGAGC